RNAcentral lists this transfer RNA (84 nucleotides) under Christensenellaceae bacterium. RNAcentral's name for it is "tRNA-Leu". It matches the Rfam family "tRNA". Rfam says of the family: Transfer RNA (tRNA) molecules are approximately 80 nucleotides in length. Their secondary structure includes four short double-helical elements and three loops (D, anti-codon, and T loops). The record is from RNAcentral. Lineage: Bacteria; Bacillati; Bacillota; Clostridia; Christensenellales; Christensenellaceae.
GCGACCGUGGCGGAACUGGCAGACGCGCCAGACUUAGAAUCUGGUAUCUUUGAUGUAUGAGUUCAAAUCUCUUUGGUCGCACCA